Rhodonellum psychrophilum GCM71 = DSM 17998 is the source of this 48-nucleotide transfer RNA. It matches the Rfam family "tRNA", at positions 25 to 71 of the family's 71-position model. From Rfam's summary of the family: Transfer RNA (tRNA) molecules are approximately 80 nucleotides in length. Their secondary structure includes four short double-helical elements and three loops (D, anti-codon, and T loops). Further hydrogen bonds mediate the characteristic L-shaped molecular structure. tRNAs have two regions of fundamental functional importance: the anti-codon, which is responsible for specific mRNA codon recognition, and the 3' end, to which the tRNAs corresponding amino acid is attached (by aminoacyl-tRNA synthetases). tRNAs cope with the degeneracy of the genetic code in two manners: having more than one tRNA (with a specific anti-codon) for a particular amino acid; and 'wobble' base-pairing, i.e. permitting non-standard base-pairing at the 3rd anti-codon position. NCBI's taxonomy places the organism in Bacteria, Pseudomonadati, Bacteroidota, Cytophagia, Cytophagales, Cytophagaceae. The record is from Rfam.
AAUACACUUUUAAUGUAUGGGUCCUGGGUUCGAAUCCCAGCGGGAUCA